This 71-nucleotide transfer RNA is filed under the name Bos taurus (domestic cattle). It matches the Rfam family "tRNA". Rfam says of the family: Transfer RNA (tRNA) molecules are approximately 80 nucleotides in length. Their secondary structure includes four short double-helical elements and three loops (D, anti-codon, and T loops). RNAcentral also lists the same sequence under 5 other names. Lineage: Eukaryota; Metazoa; Chordata; Mammalia; Artiodactyla; Bovidae. The record is from Rfam by way of RNAcentral.
CCCUGGUGAUUCAGACAGUAAAGAAUCUGUCUGCAAUACAGGAGACCCAGGUUCAAUCCCUGGAUCAGGAA